Molecule: unclassified non-coding RNA, 355 nt
Filed under: soil metagenome
Description: partial contains 5.8S ribosomal RNA, internal transcribed spacer 2, and large subunit ribosomal RNA
Rfam family: 5.8S ribosomal RNA (bases 2-121)
Source: RNAcentral
GGAUGAAGAACGCAGCGAAACGCGAUAUGUAAUGUGAAUUGCAGAAUUCAGUGAAUCAUCGAAUCUUUGAACGCACAUGGCGCCUUCCAGUAUCCUGGGAGGCAUGCCUGUCCGAGCGUCGUUUCAACCCUCGAGCCCCCGUGGCCCGGCGUUGGGGAUCUGCCCAGGCAGUCCCCGAAAACCAGUGGCGGACCCGUUACAGGCCCUUCCCUUGCGUAGUAGCAUUCGCCUCGCAUCGGGAGCCGGCGGGCUUCCAGCCUCUAAACCCCCAUCAAGUCCGCCCCGGCGGCACCAAGGUUGACCUCGGAUCAGGUAGGAAUACCCGCUGAACUUAAGCAUAUCAAUAAGCGGAGGA